Molecule: ribosomal RNA, 331 nt
Filed under: uncultured eukaryote
Lineage: Eukaryota
Description: partial 18S ribosomal RNA
Rfam family: Eukaryotic small subunit ribosomal RNA
Source: RNAcentral
CCCUUAGAUGUUCUGGGCCGCACGCGCGCUACACUGACGAAGUCAGCGAGCAUCUCCUACGCCGAAAGGUGCGGGGAAUCUUGUGAAACUUUGUCGUGUUGGGGAUUGAUUUUUGAAAUUCUUGAUCAUCAACGAGGAAUUCCUAGUAAGCGCAAGUCAGCAGCUUGCGUUGAUUACGUCCCUGCCCUUUGUACACACCGCCCGUCGCUACUACCGAUUGAAUGGUUUAGUGAGAUUCUCGGAUUGGUCCUGGCGUGGUGGGCAACUUCCGUGCCAUGGCGCCGAGAAGACGAUCGAACUUGAUCAUCUAGAGGAAGUAAAAGUCGUAACA